Molecule: transfer RNA, 64 nt
Filed under: Meloe proscarabaeus
Lineage: Eukaryota; Metazoa; Arthropoda; Insecta; Coleoptera; Meloidae
Description: tRNA-His
Source: RNAcentral
AUUUAAAUAGUUUAAUUAAAAUGCUGGCUUGUGGAGUCAGGGAUAUACCUUUGUAUUUUAAAUA